Molecule: ribosomal RNA, 1173 nt
Filed under: Kocuria flava
Lineage: Bacteria; Bacillati; Actinomycetota; Actinomycetes; Micrococcales; Micrococcaceae
Description: bacterial SSU rRNA
Source: RNAcentral
AGAGUUUGAUCCUGGCUCAGGACGAACGCUGGCGGCGUGCUUAACACAUGCAAGUCGAACGCUGAAGCUCCAGCUUGCUGGGGUGGAUGAGUGGCGAACGGGUGAGUAAUACGUGAGUAACCUGCCCUUGACUCUGGGAUAAGCCUGGGAAACCGGGUCUAAUACUGGAUACGACGUCCUGCCGCAUGGUGGGGCGUGGAAAGGGUUUUACUGGUUUUGGAUGGGCUCACGGCCUAUCAGCUUGUUGGUGGGGUAAUGGCCUACCAAGGCGACGACGGGUAGCCGGCCUGAGAGGGUGACCGGCCACACUGGGACUGAGACACGGCCCAGACUCCUACGGGAGGCAGCAGUGGGGAAUAUUGCACAAUGGGCGCAAGCCUGAUGCAGCGACGCCGCGUGAGGGAUGACGGCCUUCGGGUUGUAAACCUCUUCAGCAGGAAGAAGCCACAAGUGACGUACUSCAGAGAAGCGCCGGCUAACUACGUGCCAGCAGCCGCGGUAAUACGUAGGGCGCAAGCGUUGUCCGGAAUUAUUGGGCGUAAAGAGCUCGUAGGCGGUUUGUCGCGUCUGCUGUGAAAGCCCGGGGCUCAACCCCGGGUCUGCAGUGGGUACGGGCAGACUAGAGUGCAGUAGGGGAGACUGGAAUUCCUGGUGUAGCGGUGAAAUGCGCAGAUAUCAGGAGGAACACCGAUGGCGAAGGCAGGUCUCUGGGCUGUUACUGACGCUGAGGAGCGAAAGCAUGGGGAGCGAACAGGAUUAGAUACCCUGGUAGUCCAUGCCGUAAACGUUGGGCACUAGGUGUGGGGGACAUUCCACGUUCUCCGCGCCGUAGCUAACGCAUUAAGUGCCCCGCCUGGGGAGUACGGCCGCAAGGCUAAAACUCAAAGGAAUUGACGGGGGCCCGCACAAGCGGCGGAGCAUGCGGAUUAAUUCGAUGCAACGCGAAGAACCUUACCAAGGCUUGACAUCCACCGGACCGCACUGGAGACAGUGCUUCCCUUCGGSGCUGGUGGACAGGUGGUGCAUGGUUGUCGUCAGCUCGUGUCGUGAGAUGUUGGGUUAAGUCCCGCAACGAGCGCAACCCUCGUUCUAUGUUGCCAGCACGUGAUGGUGGGGACUCAUAGGAGACUGCCGGGGGUCAACUCGGAGGAAGGUGGGGAUGAGUCAAAUCGG